UAUAGGGGAGCCGCAGGGAAACCGAGUCUUAACUGGGCGUUAAGUUGCAGGGUAUAGACCCGAAACCCGGUGAUCUAGCCAUGGGCAGGUUGAAGGUUGGGUAACACUAACUGGAGGACCGAACCGACUAAUGUUGAAAAAUUAGCGGAUGACUUGUGGCUGGGGGUGAAAGGCCAAUCAAACCGGGAGAUAGCUGGUUCUCCCCGAAAGCUAUUUAGGUAGCGCCUCGUGAA
RNAcentral lists this ribosomal RNA (233 nucleotides) under Klebsiella pneumoniae. RNAcentral describes it as "partial 23S ribosomal RNA". It matches the Rfam family "Bacterial large subunit ribosomal RNA", at positions 656 to 888 of the family's 2925-position model. Lineage: Bacteria; Pseudomonadati; Pseudomonadota; Gammaproteobacteria; Enterobacterales; Enterobacteriaceae. The record is from RNAcentral.